UANANANUUCCGCAUGGCGGGNAANCCCUGNNGGACGACGCCGCGUGGAUGAUGAAGGCCGUAAGGUUGUAAAAUCCUUUUGCAGGUGAAGAAUAAGCGGGGGAGUGGAAAGCCUCCGUGAUGACGUUAGCCUGCGAAUAAGCCCCGGCCAAUUACGUGCCAGCAGCCGCGGUAAUACGUAUGGGGCAAGCGUUGUUCGGAGUUAUUGGGCGUAAAGGGCGUGUAGGCGGUUUUUCAAGUCUGGUGUGAAAUCUCCGGGCCUAACCCGGAGCACGCGCUGGAAACUGGAAGACUUGAGUUCUGGGGGGGAAGCUGGAAUUCCUGGUGUAGGAGUGAAAUCUGUAGAUAUCAGGAAGAACACCGGUGGCGAAGGCGGGCUUCUACUCAAGGACUGACGCUGAGGCGCGAAAGCGUGGGGAGCAAACAGGAUUAGAUACCCUGGUAGUCCACGCUGUAAACGAUGUGCACUAGGCGUGGGGCGCGGUUCGCGCUCUGUGCCGUAGCUAACGUGUUAAGUGCACCGCCUGGGGAGUAUGCUCGCAAGGGUGAAACUCAAAGAAAUUGACGGA
This 569-nucleotide ribosomal RNA is filed under the name uncultured bacterium. RNAcentral describes it as "bacterial SSU rRNA". It matches the Rfam family "Bacterial small subunit ribosomal RNA", at positions 357 to 917 of the family's 1533-position model. The record is from RNAcentral.